RNAcentral lists this long non-coding RNA (10495 nucleotides) under Gossypium raimondii (Peruvian cotton). Its description in RNAcentral is "long non-coding RNA (GRAI_LNC005933)". Lineage: Eukaryota; Viridiplantae; Streptophyta; Magnoliopsida; Malvales; Malvaceae. The record is from RNAcentral.
UUGGCCCCUGAACUUUUCUAAAUUACAUUUCAACCCCUAAACUUUUCUAAAUUACAUUUCAACCCCUAAACUUUCUCAAAAUUACACUUUGAGCCCUAUAUUUUCCUAAAAUUACAUUUUUACCCCAGAAACUUUGCGCGCGUUACAUUUUGGUCCUUCUGGCAUGACAAGACGGCCCUCAAUCUGCGUUCUUGCGUGCAACGCCUUCCACGCCUGACACCUCCAAUCGGCCUUGCUUCCCUUUCUCUGCUGCCACCUGAAAACAAAGGAGAAGAGGACAAAACAAGGAGAUUAAAAAGAAGCAAAAGAGAGAAAUGGGGGGGCAAAAAACAAGAAUACAGAGAAAAAAAUCUUUAAAAUUUCUAAGAUUCGGCUGAUUUUUCCCUAGGUCCUCAUCCACAUUCCUCAUUCAUCAAGAAAAAAACCAAACUCCACAAUCCACAAGCAAUUAAAACCAAAGAAAAUAGUAAAAAAAAGAGGCAAAAUAAACAACAAAUAUAGCAAGAUCCCGACCUUUAUCACGAUCACUUAAGGCGGAGGAGGAUCGAGUGGCGAACGGCGGUUUGGAGAGGCGGCAUUGCCUCUAGUUUCCGGGCUUUCGAAAGAGAAAGAAAAAGAAAAGGGGGAAGAGAAGAAAAAGAGAAAGCCAAAGGGAGAAGAUAUGAGAAGAUAAGGGAAAGAAGAGAAAAAAGAGGAGAGAAGAAGAGGAGAAAACAUCGAGGCUAGCACCACCGAGAGGAGGAUUCGACGGUGGCAGUGGGCGACGGAGGAGAAGCGGCGCGGCUAGGGGCUCAAAGGAAUGAAAAAGUAAAGGGAAGAAGAAGAAGAAAGGAGAAAGAAAAAGAGAGAAAAAGAAAUAAAAAGAAAGAUAAAAAAAUAAAUAAAGAAUUAAACAGCAGCCCACUUUUUGGUAGGCUACGAGCAGCCCACCACUAGUGGGCCGACCAGCACAGGCCCAAUACUUAGCAGCACCAAUGGGCCAACGAUAGCAUUGAAGCAGGCCAACUGAGGCCCAAAGCAAGGCAAAAAAAAAAGAGAGAAGAGAAGAGGGCCUUUUGGGUAAUUUUAUUUUAUUUUUUUUUCCUUUUAAUCUAUUUUAUUUAAUAUAUUUAAAUAGUGUUUUAUUUAAUUUAAAUUAGUAUGUUUAAAAUAAUUUUCAUAAAUAUUAUUAUGUCAUUUUAAUUGCAUAUUUUUUAAAAAAUAAUAAAAAUAAAAUAAUAAAAUUUUAAUGCAUAAGGCAACGAACCGAUUUAGCAUCGAGUCACCGAAUCCAUCGCUAUGUUGGGUGGAUAUCGAUAGCUCAUGUUAAAUACGGGACGCCCUUCUAAAAAUCGACAAUAUUCAAGAAUCCUCGUAUUAAAAAAAUUUCUCGUGUUUUAAUAGAAUCCUGAUUAAAUAUUAAAUUGAAUUAAUUUAACACUAAUUGGAUUGUUUCAUUGCCAUAUCGGGGUGAAUAUCAUCGAUUCGUGUUAAAUACGGUUUUUUUAAGAAAAAUCAUGUUUCAAAAUUUUCAUGUCUUCAAAAUUUCUCGUGCUUCAAAAUAAUAAUAAUAAAAUUUUCCGUGUUUCAAAAAUUCUCGGGAAAAAAAAAUUUUCGUGUUUCAAAAAUAUUCUCGCAUUUCAAAACUUUCGUUUUUUAAUCACGUUUCAAAAAAAAUGUCAUGUAAAAAAAAUUUUCGUGUUUCUAAAAUUUCCCUAUUUAAAAAAUUCCCUUGUUUCAAAAAAAAAUGUCUUAAUUUUCGUGUUUCUAAAAUUUUCGUGUUUAAAAAUUCUAGUGUUUUCAAAAUUCUCGUGUUAAAAAAAACUUUCGUUUAAAAAAAAAAAGAAAUUCCGCGCUUCAAAAUUCUCGUGUUUUUUUUAAAAAAAGGGUUCUCGUAUUUCAAUCGGAUCACGACUAAAUAUUAAAUGGAACUGGUAUUUUUGAAAAUUAAGACAACAUGCGUUUUACGAGAUACCAAUUUUGGGCGUCACGAGGGUGCUAAUACCUUCCUCGCGUGUAACUGACUCCCGAACCCUAAUUUUCUCUGGAUUUUUACGUGGACCUAAAAUUACCUCUUUUUUAGAAAAGUUUAAAAAUAAAAUUUUCUUCUAAAAAGAGAGUUUUGUAGGUGUCCAAUCACACCUAGAAAAAAGAUCGGUGGCGACUCUUUUUUAAAUAAAAUCGAAACUUCGUUUUCAAAGUUUCAAUAACUAUUUCGACUAGCGCCCGUGCCCAAAAUUUUUAGGUCGCUACAGCUGGCGACUCCGCUGGGGACAUUUUUUGAGAGUCGAGUCUAAUGUUAAACGCGUGUUGUCAAAAUUUUUAAAUUUUCUAGUUCAAAUUAAUUUUCAAUCGUGAUCCUUGAAUUUUGUUUUGAAAAGUCAUGCAUUUGCAUUCGGUUUUUAAAUUAAUAUUUUUCUAACGUGUUUUGUUUUUCUGUUCAGCUCUAAGUUUUACGUUUUUUUAGUUUGUUGUUUUAGUAAAUAAAAAAUAAAAAGGUUUGUGAGUUUCUCCCCACACACUGUGCACUUGCAUUCUUGCAUAACAUGAGCUAUCUACCCGAACUCCGUCCGUUUAAGUGGAAGUAAAUGCUAUGCCUUCGUGAGUUAACUCGUCCCUCCGCACAGGCUAGUGAAUUACUUUCGAGUUACAUAUGACUUAUGCUUUCGUGAGUUAACUUGUCCCUCCGCAUAGGCAUAAGUAAAUGUAAUCCCUCGAAUUGAGCUCGCGAGCCCUGACGGGCGAUAACCGAGGCUCCGUACUAACCUUAGUAGGUGAUAGUAUGGACAAUUCGAGUACCUUUCUAGAACCGAAACUACAUAUAGUAAACCGUACGAGCCACCCGAUUAGAGCCAGGCCGAACCUCUGUCCGUUGAAUAGUCACCAAAAUAAGUACACGGGAGAAACGCCUCUUACCUUUUAUUUCUUUUACAUUUACACUUCUUUGCAAAUGAAUUGAGUCUGUUAAAUAAAUUGGGUCGGGUAGAUUGUCUGAAGAUAUGUGGGGUAGGUUUUUUUUUUGUAAAGCAUGUUGGGGCAAACAAAAAAUGUGGGUCUGUUCCACCAAAUUGCAUGAUUAAAUAGCUUAAUUUGUUAAAUUUUCCAUAGUCUUUAUUUUUCUUUUUUCUUCUGUUUAUAUCUGUUGUGAUCUCUAACCAAGGUUAUUUGUUCUUUAUUUUAUUUUUCAUCAUGCAUCGUAGUCAUCUCAUUAGGAAGGUGUUGAUUAGGGAUUGGUUGCCAAAAACGGGUUUCUGAUGGAGGAGUCAAUUACACAAGUAACCGAGAAAAAUGCCGUAGUUCGAGAUUGAUCUUUGAGGACUUAGCAAGUGAAAGGGGAUAGUUUAAAAGAAGGAUACAUCUUUGAUCUUCCUGAGCAUGUGACUUUGAAUGCUCGUCAGAAUGAUCUCGAAGACUUGACUAGGAUUUGGAAACAGUGGGACUCAGAUACCAGAGGCAUUUUCACUGAAAAGUACGGGGACAUAGCUCACUUGAUAGCAAUCAAUGUGAACGAGCAGUUGAUUCAAGCCAUGAUUCGAUUCUGGGACCUAGCCUAUCAGUGUUUCACUUUCAAACAGGAAGACAUGACUUCAACCAUAGAAGAGUAUGCCGCUCUGCUUCGCAUUGACAAUGUACAAUUCAACAAGAUAUAUGUGAAGAAGCCUAAACCGAUGACCUUCAAGAAAAAGCUAAUGAAGUUGACAGGGAUGACUGACACAUGGGCUGAAGUUUAGUCAAUGAAAUUCGCAAGGCAGUUAUGCAAAUUGUGCAAUUAUCAGAUGAUGCCGAAACUCUCAGUUGGCAAUUCUCUCUAAGCCAAAGAUCAAGCAUGUCGGAGUUCCUAGGACGAGUGAAGAAACAAGGCGAUGUGGCCAGUGAAUUUGUGUAACUGUUAAGUCCAAGAUGGAAAAAUGUUUUGUAAUGUGCUCUUUUGAUUAAUGAAACGCCAAAAUAUGGGGCUAUCUUGAAAUCAACACCAAAUUCUUGUAUAUUUAUUCAUGACUAACAUUUACUUGUCAUUCAUUCAUUCAUGCAUGCAUUGCGUGUACAUAUCACCCUAACCAUUCAAUAAGGCUAGAACCGCAUAAUCCACAGUUGUGACACUACAAGUCUGGAAUCACGUCAUUCUUAUAGACGCAUUUAAGAUCUAAAGCUAUGGAUGCUGAGCUCAACCAGAGUGAUACAAUUGAGGAUGUUUUAAUGAUACACCCCUAUCCCCCAAGAUAUGUUUUGAACAAUUAGACUGCUGUGGACCUCAUUGUAGUUUCUAAGUCCUCUCCAGAGUAAUGUCCAAUGUUAAUUCUCCAUUGUUUUGUGUGUUCCUAAAUAAUGGGAUUCCUUUUGUAAGAGCUUAUAUUUGCUCUUUAUCAUUUCAAUGAACAUUAAUGAAGAUGCAUUUUGUCAUGAUCUUUUCAUUUCCAUCAAUUUCAUAAUUACCCCCCCAUCGCUUCAUAUCCUUUCUCUCCAUGUAUCUCAUUUCAUAGCAUUGUGUGUGUUGAUUCCAAUACUUUGAUGCUCCCCUAUAGCAGUUUUUUCUAUCCGUCUUUCAAGUGCUCAGAUAUCCAUGGCAUGAACAAUCCCGUUACAAGUCCUGAAAUCGAUUUCGAGAAGGCUGUUUGUUUAGGAGAAUUUGAAGCCGAGGAAGAUGCUAAAAAUUGUGACCGGCCUCCUGACUUACUGAGAAUGGUUGAACAAGAAAAGAAACAGAUUCUACCCCAUCAAGAAUUUUUUGAGACAGUGAACUUGGGAAAUGAAGAAAAGCAACAAGAAGUGAAGAUUGGGACUUCCAUUUCAGAAAACACCAGGCGGGAUUUGAUCGCCUUGCUCCAUGAGUAUAAAGAUGAAUGCCUGGUGUUAUCAAGAUAUGCCAGGGUUGAACACAGAUAUUGUGGUCCAUAAGCUCCCACUGAAACCAGAAUGCAAACCUGUUCAACAGAAGCUAAGAAGGAUGAGACCUGAAAUGCUGUUGAAAAUAAAAGAAGAAGUCAAGAAAUAAUUUGACGCUGGCUUCCUACAAGUCUCCAAGUAUCCAGAGUGGGUAGCUAACAUAGUCCCGGUACCAAAGAAAGAUGACAAGGUGCGAAUGUGCGUGGAUUAUCGUGAUCUGAAUCAAACAAGCCUUAAGGAUAACUUUCCUUUACCACACAUCGACACUUUGGUGGAUAAUACGGCAAAGCAUUCUCUGUUUUCUUUCAUGGAUGGCUUCUCAGGUUAUAAUAAGAUAAAGAUGGCUCCUGAGGACAUGGAGAAAACUACAUUCAUAACAAUGUGGGGAACCUUCUGUUAUAAGGUAUGCCAUUCGGACUAAAGAAUGCUGGGGCAACGUAUCAGAGAGCCAUGGUGACGUUGUUUCAUGAUAUGAUGCACAAAGAAAUAGAAGUUUAUGUCGAUGAUAUGAUUGCCAAAUCUCGGGAAGAAAGAGAGCAUGUUGGAAAUCUCAAGAAGCUGUUCAAAAGGCUAAGAAAGUUCUAGUUGAAGCUAAACCCGGCCAAAUGUACAUUUGGGGCUACUUCGAGAAAAUUGUUAGGUUUCAUUGUCAGUGAGAGAGGUAUUGAAGUUGAUCCAGACAAGAUAAAAGCUAUACAAGAACUGCCACCUCCGUGCACACAAAAGGAAGUCAGAGGAUUUUUAGGAAGGUUGAAUUACAUUGCUCGAUUCAUUGCCCAACUUACCAAUCAGUGUGAUCCAAUUUUUUGACUCCUCCGAAAACAUAAUCCGGGAGAAUGGAAUGAGGAGUGCCAAAUGGUAUUUGACAAGAUAAAACAAUAUCUGUCUAAUCCUCCGGUGCUGGUACUGCCGAUCCUUGGAAAACCCUUAAUAUUGUAUCUGACCGUAUUUGAAAACUCAAUGGGUUGCGUACUGGGGCAACAUGAUGAGUCAGGGAAAAGUGAAAAGGCAAUUUACUACCUCAGCAAAAAGUUCACAGAAUAUGAGGCAAAGUACCCUUCAAUUGAGAAGUUUUGUUGCGCAUUGAUUUGGACGGUUCGAAGGCUCAGACAAUACAUGUUGUAUCAUACGACAUAGUUAAAUUCAAAACUGGAUCCAAUAAAGUACAUGGUGGAGUCACCUGCACUCUCAGGAAGAAUGGCACGAUGGCAGAUCUUACUGACUGAGUAUGACAUCGUGUAUGUGAGCCAAAAAUUGAUAAAAGGAAGCGCGAUAGCUAACUUCUUAGCAAGUCGAACAGCGGAAGAAUACAAGCCUUUGAGAUUCGAUUUCCCAGAUGAAGACUUGAUGUGCAUUUCAGAAAAAAUGGUGAGUCACCAAAAGAGAAAUCAUGGAAGAUGAGCUUCGAUGGUGCAUCGAAUGCAUUGGGGGCAUGGGAUCGAAGCAGUCUUAGUGUCACCUGAAGGGGACCAUUACCAACUCACUGCCAGAUUAAACUUCUUCUGUACCUAUAAUAUAGUAGAGUAUGAAGCUUGCAUCAUGGGACUUCGUGUAGCUAUUGAGAGGAAAAUCAAAAUCUUUGAAGUGCACGAGGACUCAGCAUUAGUCAUUCGCCAAAUCCGUAGAGAUUGGGAAGUGGGGGAUUCGAAAUUAAUCAAAUAUCACGAUCUCGUUGCAGAAUUGGUCAAAGAGUUCUAUGAAGUGACUUUUAACUACUUUCCACGGAAAGAGAACCAAUUGGCUGAUGCUCUGGCCACCUUGGCUUCGGUGUUCAAAGCAAACAGAGAAACUGAGAUAAUGCCCAUCCAAAUGAGUAUAUAUGAGACCCCCACACACUGUUUUAGUAUUAAGGAGGAGUCAGAUGGACGACCAUGGUUCCAUGAUAUCUUGGAGUAUAUCAAGAAUCAAAGGUACCCCGAGCAAGCAAACGAGAAUGACAAAAGAACAAUCAGGAAAUUGGCGGUUGGAUUUGUUCUUGACGGGGAUAUUCUAUACAAAAGAGGGAAAGAUCAAGUGCUCCUGAGGUGCGUGGACGCUGUUGAAGCUAAAAAGAUACUUGAAGAGGUCCAUGAAGGGAUUUGUGGAACGCAUGCCACUGGUUUCACCAUGGCUAGGCAAAUUAUGAGACUUGAUUAUUAUUGGCUGACGAUGGAAAAUGAUUGCAUUGGUUACGCAUGAAAGUGCCACAAAUGUCAAAUUUAUGGCGAUAAAAUUCAUGCAGCUCCAUUGCCCCUCCAUGUCAUGACUUCUUCGUGGCCUUUUUCUAUGUGGGGCAUGGAUGUUAUAGGGCCAAUUUCCCAGAAAGCUUCCAAUGGACAUCGAUUCAUCUUUGUGGUUAUAGACUACUUCACAAAGUGGGUAGAAGCCACUUCGUUUGCUAAUGUGACAAAGGCUGCAGUCUGUAGGUUCUUAAAAAAGGAGAUUAUAUGUCGAUAUGGUCUGCCUGAAAGAAUCAUUUCAGAUAAUGCUUUAAAUUUGAACAACAAGAUGAUGAAAGAAGUAUGUGAGCAAUUUCAGAUAAAGCAUCAUAAUUCUUCGCCCUAUCGCUCAAAGAUGAACGGAGCAAUAGAAGCGGCUAAUAAGAACAUUAAGAGGAUUCUCAGGAAGAUGGCUGAGACAUAUAAAGACUGGCACGAGAAGCUACCACUUGCUUUGUACGCAUAUCGAACCUCUGUACGGACGUCUACAGGGGCAACUCCUUUUUCUCUGGUCUACGGGAUGUAGGCCGUUCUACCUAUCGAAGUAGAGAUCCCAUCCCUGCGUGUCUUGAUGGAGACAAAGUUAGAAGAAUCAGAGUGGGUUCAAGCUCGAUAUGAUCGGCUAAACCUUAUUGAAGGGAAACGCUUGAAGGUAAUUUUUCAUGGACAGAUGUAUCAGAAAAGAAUGAUCACGGCCCAUGAUAAAAAGGUACGGCCAAGAGAAUUUCGCGAAGAGGAGCUCGUUGUAAGAAAGAUCCUCCCGAUACAAAAAGACUUUCGAGGAAAAUGGUCGCCAAAUUGGGAAGGGCCAUACGUUGUAAAAAGGGCAUUCUCAAGAGGAGCUUUGAUUCUCACUGAGAUGGAUGGGAAAGAAUUACCUAAUCCAGUGAACUCAGAUGCUGUGAAGAAAUAUUAUGCCUAAAAAAAAGAGACAAAAAAACAACAAAAAAAACAAAGAGGUAAAAAAACAAACAAAAAAAAGCAACAAAAAAACAAAAAAAACAAAAAAAGAAAAAAGAAAAAUCAAAAUCAAAAUCAAAAUGAAAACCCAAAAAGGGCGUCUUGAUAAACAAAAGGAUUAGGAUGAAAACCCGAAAGGGCGUCCUAAUGAAGCAGAUUCGGACUUAAAGAGCAAGGCGACUCGAACGGGGAGUCGAAUGGCGAAGUUACAAUAUUUGAAGCAUUCUCAGAAGCUCGAAAUCUUCUACACAGGAAGCCAUGCUCGAAAAGAUUCAGGAUGAAGAAACGUGGAGGAGUUUAAGCGUUGGAUAUCUAGAGCAUUCGUGGCCAUUGAAUUCACUUUCCUUUCUUUAUGAUGCUUUCUGUAUUUGAACUAUUCCUUGUCAAUUUUCUUUGUUUGUUGCUUUUGAAAAAAUUGAAUGUGAGGUAUUUUCUUUCAUGCCUACUUUGCCAUUUUUUCCAUGCAUCUCGUGUUUGAUUCAUUUAAAUGAUAAAUAGAAAGAUGACAUACUCUAAACAAAAGAAAUGUUGAACAUUACCUGGAUGAGAAUUUGACAAGUACAAGGGCCCGAAAGCAGGAACAAUGUUCAGCAGGGGGCAAGAGAGUGAUAUAUGGAGAAAUGUGGAUUACUCACAGAACUUGAGGAUGAGUACAAAACUGGAGAGAAAAGUCAGGAAUUGAGGAAAUGAAUGCAGAACCUCACGAAAAUCAAAAGUGGGGCAUGUGACAAACAGCCUAGGGUGCAUGGCAUGAUCAUGUAGACACGAAAGCAUUUAGGACAAACACGUGCAUAUCAUAAUAACAUCAUACAUGACAUAUACAGGUAUACCAGUAGAGCAAGGAAUACUGGGAGAAAGCUGCACAGAAUCAAUGAAGAAGAAGGCUUUUAGUUUCACCUGAUGUUUUUUGAAACCCAGUUUCUUUCAAGAAAUAUUUUUCAAUCUCUGUUUUUUUCAAAAAUCAACUCAUAAUACAGAGGUGAGUUGAGCCUCGGGUCAUGCCGAGGUAUUUCUUUUAAAUUUCUAUUUUUCAAAAAUCAACUCAUAAUACAGAGGUGAGUUGAGCCUCGGUCAUGCCGAGGUAUUUCUUUUAAAUUUCCAUUUUCAAAAAUCAACUCAUAAUGCGAGAGGUGAGUUGAGCCUCGGGUCAUCCUAAGGUAUUUUCAAUUUCUGUUUUUCAAAAAAAUCAACUCAUAAUACGAGAGGUGAGUUGAGCCUCGAGUCAUCCUGAGGUCUUUUAAAUUUCUGUUUUUCAAAAAAGUCAACUCAUAAUUCGAGAGGUGAGUUGAGCCCCGGGUCGCACGCCGAGGUAUUAUCGAUUUUUGCCUUUCAAAUAAAAAGAAAAUUUUGGAUGGUCGAGCAAAAUUCAGUGCUUUUAAGUCUUUGCCCUAUCCCUGUUUCACAGGAUGAGCAAAGAGGGGCAGCUGUAAUCACUGAAUUUUGCCCGAGUAGGAUUUCGGGCCGGGCUGGUCUCAUAUGGGCCCGAUAAUUGGGCCCAUUAGGAUUAAAUUUUGGGUUUGUUUUAACUCAUUUUUAAUUGUUUUAAUUUUUGUUUUAAAUAUUAAUAAAAUAGUCAUAAUGAAAUUUUGAAAAAUGAAAAAAAAACAAAACAAAAAAUAUAAAUUACAUUUUGGCCCCUGAACUUUUCUAAAUUACAUUUCAACCCCUAAACUUUUCUAAAUUACAUUUCAACCCCUAAACUUUCUCAAAAUUACACUUUGAGCCCUAUAUUUUCCUAAAAUUACAUUUUUGCCCCAGAAACUUUGCGCGCGUUACAUUUUGGUCCUUCUGGCAUGACAAGACGGCCCUCAAUCUGCGUUCUUGCGUGCAACGCCUUCCACGCCUGACACCUCCAAUCGGCCUUGCUUCCCCUUCUCUGCUGCCACCUGAAAACAAAGGAGAAGAGGACAAAACAAGGAGAUUAAAAAGAAGCAAAAGAGAGAAAUGGGGGGCAAAAAAAAAGAAUACAGAGAAAAAAAAGCUUCAAAAUUUCUAAGAUUCGGCUGAUUUUUCCUUAGGUCCUCAUCCACAUUCCUCAUUCAUCAAGAAAAAAACCAAACUCCACAAUCCACAAGCAAUCAAAACCAAAGAAAAUAGUAAAAAAAAGAGGCAAAAUAAACAACAAAUAUAGCAAGAUCCCGACCUUUAUCACGAUCACUUAAGGCGGAAGAGGAUCGAGUGGCGAACGGCGGUUUGGAGAGGCGGCGUUGCCUCUAGUUUCCGGGCUUUCGAAAGAGAAAGAAAAAGAAAGGGGGGAAGAGAAGAAAAAGAGAAAGCCAAAGGGAGAAGAUAUGAGAAGAUAAGGGAAAGAAGAGAAAAAAGAGGAGAGAAGAAGAGGAGAAAACGCCGAGGCUAGCACCACCGAGAGGAGGAGUCGACGGUGGCAGUGGGCGACGAAGGAGAAGCGACGCGGCUGGGCGCUCAAAGGAAUGAAAAAGCAAAGGGAAGAAGAAGAAGAAAGGAGAAAGAAAAAG